UGCUUUGCACCCUGGACCGCCCCC
RNAcentral lists this non-coding RNA (24 nucleotides) under Mus musculus (house mouse). Lineage: Eukaryota; Metazoa; Chordata; Mammalia; Rodentia; Muridae. The record is from RNAcentral.